Molecule: unclassified non-coding RNA, 417 nt
Filed under: fungal sp.
Lineage: Eukaryota; Fungi
Description: partial internal transcribed spacer region
Rfam family: Eukaryotic small subunit ribosomal RNA (bases 1-46)
Source: RNAcentral
AAGUCGUAACAAGGUUUCCGUAGGUGAACCUGCGGAAGGAUCAUUAAAAACGUAUCCAACGUUAAACCAAACCUGUGAACUUGUUAAUCUCCCUUUGCAGAAGGAAGUCGGAGCUGAAGAUGGCAUGAAAUGGACGAAUAGAUUUUGUAAUGAGAUUUAUUCGGUUGUAGUUCUCAGUUACUGUAUAUUUUAUGUCGAAAGAUAUAGAAUAGUUUACACGAUGUGAUUUCUGCAGAGGCUUUUGCUCUCUAUUAGUAACGGUACUUCCAUACGUGAAGUAGAGGGCGCUUUUUUUUAUCAAACAACUAUUUCACCCCUUAUUUAAAGUUGGUUUUAUUUGUGAUUAUUAUGAAAAUAAUAAUCCAAGUUCUUAAUUGAACACAAUUACAACUCUUAGCAAUGGAUGUCUAGGUUCUC